CUGAAGUUGGCGUGGAUCGUGGAUCGUGGAUCGGCUGGCGGGGCCCGUUCCGGGCCCGUUCUGCUCCCGCAGCAUCGGGCGAGGAUCUCCGACAGUGCCUUCAGUCGUUCGCCGCUGUCCCUACGAGUAGGAGGUCGUUCAGGAGGAGCAAGGUCAUCCCGAGAUCAAGGUGAAUCGAGCCGCUGGCGACCCAGUCGACCCAACUAACUCCACGAGGCGCUCUAUAUCUUUCGACGAACAACCCGUUUGGCACGGAUAACGCGAUUGGCUAAGACUCGGUCUUGAAAAUGAGCGACAAGAUAAUUCGUGGUACCACCCUAACCUCAGCAGGGAAUAAACGAAGCAGCUGAUUGGAGCAACGAGGCUUUCUAGAGUAUCAACAUUUUUGCUCUGCCUUGCACAGGAUAUCGUCGUCUUGAAGUGAGCAUGCUGCAGGAUACGAUAAAUCAUUCGAAUUUCAUUCUCUCGAUAGGAACUUCCAUUUCAAAGGUUCAACAGCAUACUAAGAAUCGUGAAGUUCGUUUUUGGAAUCGAUAUGAGGGAUACUCGAAGCCUUCUAGGACGUUCUUUCUUUUGUCAGUGUUUACCAAAGGACAGGAUCAUCGGCUUAUGUCGUCAAGAGGGACGUCUCAACGAUCGUUAACACAGAUCUAAGUGGAGAUAAUCAAGAACUAAGUGUCAUUGAUCGAGGAAUAGAAGAUGGAUCGUAAGAAGUUAACAGAGAGAACUCGAUGUCUGCGUCACCUGCGGAAUGAUUGUACAAUAGGACGUAAAAAGAAAAAACAAAGCGGAUCGCGAAAGACCUACUUGGGUUCAAAUGUGAAUGGUCAAAUCGCAUGGAAGAAUUUCAAAGUGAAAUGUUUUAUCGGGCAUUGUCCUGUGGCAGGAAAUAUCUGUUUGAAGUAAAUACACAACAGUGAGAUGAUAAAAAGUCAGAACCGACAGUAACGACUUCCUAAAGAGAUCAAAGAAUCUUCUGGCUUCUAGCAUUUAACGAACGUUGCGCGCAGUUUCAUUAAUUGAGUCAAGUGCACGAUGGAACAUGGUUUACAAACGCGUACAAAACUAUGUACAUGCUAUAUAUUGAUUUAGAAUUUAUUUGUCGCAUGCAUAAAGAAGUCCUUAAUGAAGUGUGCCGAAUGAAGGUAGCAGGCAUCAGAAUCUUAUUAUUUAUAGUUAAAACUAUGUGUGAACUGCCAGUGAAUCCUUAUUGAUCGUGGUCGCUGUGUUACGUAGCAUAGCCUCUUGAUCUUGGUCAAACGGAAGAGAAAAUAAAGCAGGUGAGAAGAAUUCCGAUUCUCGGGAUAAAGUAGCUAAAAGCAUUGAGUGUUCAGCGUGUAUGAUAAUGCGGUUAUAACGUCGGAGGUGUUGCGUUACAUAAACAAACCGGUAAAAGUAGGGUUAGUGCACUGUCUAUCUACUUACUUGCCAAUCGGCUUGACGACGUUCAUCGAGAUCGGCGAGAAGCCUUCUUUGAAGGAUUUACUUACGGGAUAUCCUUAACGAAGUGUGCUUGUCUUUGCGAAGUGGUGAGUUCAACAAGAGCCAGCAACGCGCCGGGCGAUUUCAACGCGCGAAGAGGCGACGUGCCCGUCAGACCCAUCGAACGCGAAACUGUUCAGCGGCUCAAUCAUCAACUCACGGUACGGCAAAUCGCAGGGGAACCCGUUCCGAUAAUUCGAACGUAACAUCGCUGCGCCGAAGCGGAGGUGUCGGGAGAACUGCAGGUGCGGACCCGUCGACCCAACCCACGGCCAGUUGCGAGAGAGCCACGUACCUGAACCACCAGCCAACAGAAACCAAGAACCAGCGCCUUCCGCACCUUCCGCGCCUAUGACGUCGGUGAAUAAAGCCAGGGACUACGUGGGCUUUACACUGUCGUGAUCUGAUUUAUGCGUCACGCUGUACAGGAUGUCUCGAAAAUACACAAGAGAAUAAACGGCAAUAUUCUACGUGUCCUGAAGGGGAUACCGUGGCGCGGGGAACACCUUUUCAACCAAUGAUCUGGUUCUCCAUGUCGAAGAUGUCUUACGUCAGCUGCUGUCUCAGGUGAUCUAAGUUAUUAUACUGGGGGAAUUUGAAAAGCAAUGGGUAAUAAUUUUUUUCCGACACCCUCUAGAUUAACGCAUGUUUUCGCGUGUGCUUUCACUGGGUGAGAACAUUGCGUGACCUUUUCCGAUGCUCGGGGGUACCAGCUGGUGGUGAAAGAUCGGCAAAAGAUCUACGAAGGAUCGCAGGCUAAUUGUAAUGAACUUGCGCAAGAGAAUAUGCUUACGCCUUUUGCACUUUGCGAUAUUCCAAUCACAAGGAAUCGCAGCACGAUACACAUAAUAAU
Molecule: long non-coding RNA, 2335 nt
Organism: Cephus cinctus (wheat stem sawfly)
Lineage: Eukaryota; Metazoa; Arthropoda; Insecta; Hymenoptera; Cephidae
Exons: 3
Source: RefSeq, a predicted model, not a curated record